This is a non-coding RNA of Osmia lignaria (orchard mason bee), 17573 nucleotides long. NCBI's taxonomy places the organism in Eukaryota, Metazoa, Arthropoda, Insecta, Hymenoptera, Megachilidae. The record is from RefSeq and is a predicted model, not a curated record.
UUUCUCAAUAGUUCGAUCCCCGAUUCGUCCGCUGUGAACGCGACGACGCGGCGUUCCGGCAACGCGUGUUCCGCGCGAAACAAAUCACGCCCGUGGUAUUCGAAGUGGAAACGGACGAUCGAAAAUCGGCCGUCACCUUUCCACGGGAACGAGAAGGAAUUUUAUCACGAGCGCAGAAAGUGACGGUGGAACGUUGGAAAAUUUAUAGGAAGAUAGCGAGAGGAAGAGAGGAAAAACGAAAAUUCUUUAGGAACUUUUUGAAGACUUCCGUGCUUGAUCGAUUUCGAUCGAAGCGCCGCUCGGGUGGCUCCAUCUACUGGGCAUGCGCAGUCACUAUGCACCGUCGGAAUCAUGUGUUCGCUCAGUAUAUUCCGGUCUUUGCUUGCGUACGGUCGUUUAUAAAGUAACGAUAGUUUUGCUAUCGUGGUGGCGCGUUUAAUAAUCGUCAAAUCAAGCCCGCGUUUCGUCGUCGAUCGUGUAUCGCGCGUAAUUAAAUCGUCGAGUGGUGUUGACCGUGCGUUCCCCGGCGAGCAGUGCACGUACUCGUUCGAAGUAAAGCGGGGGAAAAAUAAGAGAACGACGACGAGACACUCGGCUAAAAUCGAAGUGCGUCUUGUUCGCGCCAGUAAAGGCGUCCUUCCGCGUUCUCUUGUACACGAGUGUCGCAGCUCGUCCCGCGAGUGAGUGAUAUUUCAUUUCCAACGAGCAGUGCCCCGAAGAGGAGGGAAAAUAGCUGUUAAGUGAAGUUCCUCGACUUUUUCGCGAUCGGUCAACGAGAGAUCCGCGGGGAUGACGAGGUAGCCCCCCAUCCAAGGGAUUGGAUUACCAUGCUGGACACGGCCACGAGUCACAGGUGGCUGUCAGAAGUUGAGGCUGAAAGUGCGAAGAGUACAGAUUGGGAGCAGCAUGCUGGCAAUAUAGCGAUCAGACAUCAACGAUCUUCUCCGUAAAGUCACUCUGCCAUGUUGCUUAGGUGAGCGGGAGGGAGGCGGUGCUGACCGGUGGCGGCGGCGGCCAUGCGCCCCGGCCCGCCAGUACAGCCGAGCCGCCGCAGGCCUCCCCGUCGCCAGGAACUCCAUCAGGAACGAAAUCGACGGCACCGGCAAGAUCAGCUGCAACCGCGUGGCCCACGGCCGAACGGGAGCAGCUCACGGGCCCUGCUGGUGUUGCUGCUGCUGGCCAGCAGCCCUCUGGUCCUGGGCCUGGCCGAACCGCCAGGAUUACCCGGGGCCGAGUGGCAGCAGGCACUAUCCAGGCAGACUUAUCCGAAAUCCACCUUCGGCAGAAGCAUUCAACCGAGGAAGCAGCAGAAUCUUACCAUUGGAUACCUCACGGCUAUCAAGGGCGGCCUCAAAGAUCGCCAGGGACUCGCGAUUUCGGGUGCCUUCUCCAUGGCCCUUGACGAGAUCAACAACGAUCCAAAUAUAUUACCGAACGUAAAGCUGGUGAUGCGAUGGAGCGACACGAGGGGAGAAACGGUGGAAGCCACCAAGGCGAUGAUCGAUAUGAUCUGCGACGGGGGUCGCAGCUUUCUUUGGACCAGAAGGCUCGUGCUACGUCGAAGCCAUAGUCGCUCAAUCCCGCAACAUACCCAUGAUUAGUUAUGUAAGUACUUUUAACGCUAUUUAAGAUAACGCUUACUUUGCAACUGCUCGACGAAACAAGAUUUACGUUAUUUGCUAAUAUUAUCAAGAAACAAAGAUUCUAUUCUAUUUCAAGAAGUAUCUACCUUUCUUGUAACACCUUGUAACAAUGAGUUAGCAGUACUGAAAGUAGCAGCAAUUGUUGCACCGUCAGUCAAAGCGAAUUUUCGCCGCUUAUUCGAUGUAACCUAAGAGACUUUCGUCCGCCGCCUCGUGAGAAGAUCGAGUUUGCCAGGGUGACGAAGGUAGCGUCGAAGUUGUCGAAGGUGGAUCGGUUCAGAGAUGGUUAACGAACGCGGGGGAGGCGGAUGUGUGCCGACAAAUUGAACACCCGCGGCGUGACAAUAUAAUUACAGGCUGCUUCCGCGUGCGAGUGUGUGCGUUACGUAGCUUUCGUACGUGCUAUGUUAGGGAACACGCGAUGCCUCCGCUUCGGGGCUUCGAUCGACCGGCCUGAAAAAUUAGCAUCCAACCUUCUCUUUGGACCUUCUAUCAUCCGAUCUUCCUUUUCGAAGGAGUAUCGUGCCGAUGCACUCACCCUCGCUUAGCUUCAUUCGUCUUCAUCGUGACUUUCAGAAGAAAAAAAAAAUUGUUCUUCACUUUAUUUAUGUCAAGAUCAGAAAAUAGUAUUUAUAAGAUUUUCUUUGAUAUUCUACAUAAGUUUAUCGUCCUCAAAGGGUUAAUAUACGAACGCUUGUAAGACGUUAAAGAAAUUCUAGCAACUGGCUCUACCCAAGGUUGAUUCGUGUUAGCCGCGUAGGUUGUGCCUUGAACCAUGCUCGAGCUAUCUUGGGUCGGACUUAUCGCGUGCCCAAGAUAUUUUAAACAGCAGAUUAACCUAGGUCUGAAGCUCGGCAACACGGUUGCCUGAACAGGAUCUACAGAAACGCAUUGAUCACGGCCCGGUACUGAAUCGAACCGGUUGUGCACUCGAUCAAAGUGGACAAAGCACGAUUUACGCGCAAUCGGAUCGGGUUAAAUCUUCCUAUGCCCGAAUUGCUUCCAUAAUAGUUUCUUCCUUUCUAAUCGCGGCGCGAUCCUCUUCAAUCGUCUUCGUGUCUAUUCUAAGCCGCGCCAGUCCUAAGAUUAGACCUCUGAUCCCAAUUAGGAUGCUUCGCUCGUUGAUAAAUGGACGGUCCUGGUGCUCGUGAAAUCGUACCACCGAUGGAAUGCACUUUUUUAUAGAACAAGACGGUUCGUUCGCUUUCGUUCCGACAGGCUAUUUUCGUGCACGCAAACGUAGCAGAAUCAUCAUCCGAUGCAGUUUCAUUCGUUGUCACGGAAUCACGAAUACAGCCACUUCAUCGUUGUGCCGUUGAUAUUGCAUAUCCUUCCUUUAUCGUUUGAUAACAGGAUUAAAAUCCUUUUGCUUAAAAUUACGUUUGAAUUUUCCCGUCUGACCAUCCGAGGGUUAAUACUACUUAAACUUCUAUUACUAUUCGAAGGAUGGUGGGAAAGGAAAAGAGAAGAACUCUCGAGUGUUAGAGUGUCACGGGGUCAGGGAAUAAACUACUCUCUCGUCAGGGUCGGGACGGAAAUUUCGGUAUCGUAGGUUAUUUAUGGACGAAAUUAUCAAGAAACGAAGAGUCGAACAGAAACGUCGUGUCUGGUGUGGUAGCAGUUUAUAAUAAAAACACAUGUCACGAAGCCGCGCCUAUUUUUAACCGGUUGAUCAGAACUGCUCGUCUGCUUGUACGAUUCGUUAAUCGUCUGGAGUGUUCAGACCACUCGUUUGCGUGGAAUUCGCCGUUCGAAAAGUAGCACGUUCGAAUUUAUCUGUCUUUCAACUUUCCAGUAAUGUUUCCACUUGUUUAUCGAUCAAGAAUUUUCGUUCAUUCUAGAACAAAUAUUCGUUCGGUACUUCGUACAAAAAUACCACAAGCAUUAAGCACUUUCACAGUAUCUGGAUUUUUUCCUAUCUGUAUUUUCAUUCCCGCGUAUCUUACUUGUUAAUACGUCGACUACUGUAGUGAAAAUGGACGGAUGUGAAGACACCUUAUAGUAUAAUUCAGAUAGCUAUUUUAUAACUUCUUAUCUAUGCACAUAUUUCAUUAUAAUCUAUCUAAUAGGGUGUCGCGCUAGAUAUGAUUAUUUUUACUGUAGCAAUCAACCUUUUCAUAAUUCUUACCGAGGUGAGUCACAUAUGGUUGUUUUCACUGCGGCAACCAGUGUUACCACGUUCACUGCCACAGUAAACCUGAACACGUGUAAUAGAACGUAUCGGGGCUCUAAUUAUUAGGAGGGAAAGAAAAAGAAGAAAGAGGGAGAGCUACAUAUUUUCCACUAUGCUUCCACGAAGCUGUAAGAAUGCAGAGUCCGUGGAGGACUCUCGCUCGAUUGCCGGAUAAUUCGAAUAUGAGAAAGUGGUACGCGAACGUAAAAAGGCCUCCAGACUAAUUUAUGUUAAUUGGAGGUCGUAAGAAAACGAAACGUCCACGCGAGAACGGCAAUCGUUUCGCUGGCAGAUGAGAAGGAAGGGAUUAAAGGCACGCGGAGGAGGCUAGUGCGGUGCGUUCGCGAUUCGAGCGUAAAUCGGCCCUUCUCUCGCGGACCGUUCCGCUGGACGUUAGCAGCUGCAUAUAAACGUAAGGAGAGCCUACUCAGCUUCUUACUUUCACCUAGUUUCACUCGUUAACGGGCGCAGCGGAACCGCAUCGAGCGUCGUCACGCGGCCACGCGUCGUUGAAUUUCGUCGAGACUCACGGUUUUUCCUUCCGCCGGAUGUUUGCGUGGCUUCUAUUCGCCUUUCCGUCGGAUUGUAUUCUGCCUACUGCUAUAACAUAUCAGUCGACUGUACACGUUUCGCGCUUAUUAUUUUCGUCGCCAGAAACCUGCUGCUCUUCUGUAUGAAUUUUUCAAAAGCCCUCUUUUCGGCCCGAUAUUAUUUUCCAUUUCUUCAAAGGAACACGCGAAACGCGUAUAAAUCCUGGCCGCGGCGGAGCUCGAUGCUUUUCCGAUGCACCGAGACGUCAUCGUCUCGGGCGGCGCGCUGCAAUCAACAGGUGGUUGCACCAACCACGAUGCAGUGACCCGCGUGUGCGUGGACGAGCGUGCGCGCGGCUGUACACGCAAGCAGAGCCGAGAGUCCACUUAUCGAAAGUUCCCACUAACUCGUGGUACCCGCAUACGCUCGUUACGAGAUCUUCGCCGUUGCAUAGGUGGGCAUUCAGGCUCUGCAUCCACCUACAGGUAUGCACCUAAAUAGGUAUUCUUGCUUGUACAGGGUGGUCCACGCAAACAGGCUCGAUGCGAUUUGCAUUUCAUCCGGUAAGCAUCCGUUACUUCGUUCGGCUUUGAAAUUCUUUGGAAAAUAGUUAACAUGGUACACCACUCUCUGACGCUAACAAGAAAUACGCUUAUGAUAUUCGAAAUUCUUGAUAAAACCUUGCGAAUUCCAGGGAAAUCUCGUGGCUUUGAUAUUUCUGACGGAGAGAAAUAGAUUGCAAUUCUUUCGGGAUGAAAGUAGAUUAGAACGUCGGUGGGUUUCAGGUAAACUGGAAGAAUAAUCACGAGUUCUGCUAGGAAUCUGUGGCGAGAUUGUUCGCAAUUUCGCGCGCAAUACUCGGCGAGGGUCCGCGUUAACGGCUCCACGUCGAAUUACCCUUUGAGACCUUGCGUAACUCGAUUUGAAACGUUCACUACGGCAUGUAGGAUGCAUUGAAACUCGAGAGGAGAAUCGCGCGUGUAAACGGGUGAAAAUGACUACUAGCCACGGUUAGACUGGCCAUAAAGUCCAUUUACCGUGCGGCAGCGAACGUAUCGUUUGGACGGUAACGCGUCACCGUAUAAAACUGACAUUGUAACCAACUUGGACGACGAGUUUUAUCGUGAAACGCGGAGACAGAGAGAGAGACGAUCUUCGCCGAGGCAUUUAGUGUGUCAUCCUCUCCUGUGUUCACCUCUGCGUGAAAAUCUCCAAUUCAAAUUGCGUGGCCGCUUCGAUGAUAAAGUAUCGAGCAAAGGCACGAAGUAAACAACACGAAUUAUGAAUACAUACGCUGCCAGUCAAAAGUGUUGAACGACAAUUCGAAACAUUUUAAGAAAUCAUUCCUUUUCAACAUUUCUCGCGAAAAAGACUUGGGUCACAGAAUGGAAUUUUCCUGACCGAUUUUCUCGGCCAAUAGUGUAAAUUUUAGACUGGAGUUUUCGUUGUAAUACCGAUCAGAGAGGCGUUUAAUCCGUGGCUUAUUCGACCAAAUCUAAAACAGAUGAAAUCGUAACGAUUCCGCAACUGGAAACCAACGAGAGUAACCAGAGCUCUGAUCAGAGCUAUCCGCGAAAGGAGCAAUAUUAUUCCAUCGAUGCCGCAUUUGCAUGAAAACUGCUGAUUCCCCUGACCUUCGCGGUCUAUUUAUAGCCAAGCCUGUUGAUGCCCCACGCACUCGAACGGACGCUUACCUGGUCCGGCUCUUGGUGUCAGUCCGUCGUUGUCCUACCUGGUCGACGACUGACACCGGUUACCCUUUCUUUCGGAAACUCAGCGCGAUCUACCGUUCCUGAUCGACCUCCUGAUCUGUCGAUCCUCAACUUUCCUUCGUUUCGAUCUUUGUUCAUUUGAACAUCUUUUAUACUAGUGUCUUAUCAUUUUCUUCAAAGCAAAAUGAAUUUUCAUUUUUGCACAUAUUUUCCUUUGAUUUUAAUUAACGAUACUGUCGUUGACACGGAAUAAUUAUGCACACAAGGUAAACCAUUAUCACCUACUUUCUCAUAACUUUGAAAUGAAACGUUUAUAGCCAACAAUUGGGUAAAAAUUUGUCCGUGUUUGCAUCUGCAGAAAAGAUUGAAACACCCGGUAUAAUAUGCACAACUAUCGAACUGAAAUUCUUAUUAUCUUUGAGUAAUGAAUAUUUGCAAUGAAAUAAGGACUUUGAAUGAAAAAGCAUCUUAAAAUGAGCUCCUGCACCGUCGUAACAGCAUCAACUUCUUUAUGGAACCCGGGGUGCAUUUAUCUGAAAUGUUAUUAACACAUUCCAUGGUAAUGAAGACGUUCGAGAUGAGUCUCGUCCUGUUUGAUUCUGCAAAACGACGGUCCGCGAUAUUGGCAACGAUUCAUUUAAUAGAAUAAUAACUCGAACGGGAAUAUAGAAUUUUCUCGCUAGACUGGUCGGUAAAAUGAUCCAGAAAACUGUCAUCCGAGACGAGAAACGUUCUCGUUGAGCAUAUAGAUUUCAUUGGGAGAACGUGUGCAGAAUUCUCUUAACACGCUCGAUCUCGAUGAUGUCCGAUAUCAUACGGAUCGAUCGGUCGUCGUUGAGAUCGAUAGAAAUAUCGUUGCGUUAACAUUCGAGAGUAGUGAAUAUAAAUAAAAGAUUUCGGCCGUACAGUCUCACUUAUCGAGGAUCAUCGUCGUGCCUUUCAGAGAUUCCCUCGGACGUGUAGGCGCGAAAUAGCAUUGCGAUACUUUCAUCUUGUGCAAUAACAGUGUAAUAAUAGCGCUUCUGCGGUAGCUAUCGGUCCGGUAAUAGCGGACGGUAUGCCCGUUUCGCGUCUCCUAUGCAUUAUUUAUGUAUACACGCGUAAUACGUGACAGUUGUAAAAAGUCUAUCAUAACGAUCGCAACGAAGAGUGACGUUCCUCCGAACGAUUCACAGCGGAGAUGACUUGUACCACUCAGCCCGUACGAUUCGACAUUUGUAGCUUCCAUUUCCUCGUCUCCCCCGACACCCCAACCCACAUUAUAUCUUUACGUUUCGAGUGACGUUACGUGAUUUCCACGAUGAAGUAAUCGUCCGGCUAUCUUUAGCCACGCACGACCACCGAUCAUCGACUACCGGACCAUUCUUCGUCCCGUCUGCCAGCGUUGAGCAACGCGUUCACGUGGCGUUAAAUCGUGACUUUUUACUACCGUAUCAGGAAAUACGUCACGAUUUCUGACGUAUCUCAAGACCGCGAAGUCGCGUUUCACGCGACACUGGAUUCGGUGGCUUCAUCCUGCCGUUAUCGAGCAAUUUCUUUCACCUUCAAAUGGUAAAAAAGGAUGAAACGAGCGUUGAGACGGCUGGAAAGCCGGUCGAUUGCUAGCUAAAUACAUUGCUAUCUUUAGCAACGAGGAACGAACCGAACGGAGCGUGAGAAUACCGGUUCCCUGCGAAACGAUACGAUUUGUUUGCCACAUUAUCGCCAGGUUAAAUAUAUCGCGAUAGCGUGAGGAAUUUACGAGCGAGUGGACGCGCCAUUGGCCGAGCCUGGCGUCGAGAUCGCGUAAAAGCCACGGUAUUACGUAAAAUUAACGCGGUGCGUGCGCGCACCGGUACCAUUUUUCUUUUUUCUUUUUUUUUUUUUUUUUUUAUCAGGGAAAUACUUGCAUGCGUUGCGAUUAGCCGGCUCGGCUCGACUGCGAUUACGCAAGAUGAACACGGAUGACAUAACGUUGAGAAAUUCAUCAAUAAUGAUUAAUUCGACUCGAUUCGAUGCCACUUAUUCCUUCUUACAUGUCGUAUCUUGAUUUCAAUGAUUUCCCCCGGCGACAAAGGAAGCUCGAUGAGUUUCGGGUAUCUCUUCUUUGUCUGUCUCUUAAUUGGUAUAAUAACACUGAUGAACGAGUAAUUAGAGGAUCGUUUACUCAACAUUUUAAAGGCUUAAUGUGCAUACCACAUUCCUCGAAGCAGUGAUCCUCUGAUUCAGAGAAUCAUUGUUGCUCUUAUCAUUAUUGUGCCUUUAUACUACUUAGGAGUGUCAAUUAUCUGUUUCUCUCUGAUUUUAAUUAAACUUGGAUUUGAAAAAAUAUUUUCGUCCGUUUCCUUUUAUGGGUGAAUAUUCGUAUCUAGGGGAUGAAGUCACCCUUAAAUUUAUGGUAAGAGUGAUGCUGAAGACUGCGAUCGUAUUUUCGAGGGGAAGAUACUGACAAAUUUGAUCCGACAGUACCACUGUCUCGACCCAAUAAACCUAAUGCUCCAAUUUACAAACCACCCUCGAAGGAGGCAAGAUCUCGGGGCCAAUAACACGUUCACGUUUCUCGACAAGUGGGUCAAUUGGUUUUUACAUAACGAGAGAGAAUAGAAGGAAGGUCUGAUGUUCUGUUGAAGCAUCGAGUAGGUGUAUAGGUGUAUUCUGUAAUCGCGGCCGGUGGUUAAGAGAGGAGAGGCAGCGGUCCAUUCAUCACGGACAGAGGAGAAACACAACGCGGACGUUUUUACUGGAGUAGACUCUAUUUUUAGAGGCGGGAAUAAAAGAGUGAAUAGAGUGUGAGAAUACUGGUUUAGCGGGCGAGCAAGUCCGACUCGUUUGCCCCGUCAUUGGCGGCUCGUGUCCGCUUGUGCUCCAACAGUGGGAAAGAAAAAAAGCCUAGGGUGCAACGUAAUGGGUUGCUUUUCCAUCGGGUCGCAUAUAAGUAUCCUUGAUCCUCCUCUGGGAAAUUGCCUCCCCGACGACAGAAUUUAUUUAUUUGAAAAUUUCAAGCUUUCUAUUUGUUAUAGCGUAAUGUUAAUACUGUUUCCAAUUUCUUUCCUCAAUUCUUUGAUCAAUUAUUCCCUUUUACUUUGGCCUGACAAUCGAUGACGCUUCUGGUCUCGAUGUCCCGGCUAGCUACUAGAGUUUCGUUCGCUAUAAAUUUUCCAGCCUGGCACAGCUUCUAGGCAUCAUUCUAGUUUUCCCGAUUGUGUAUCAUCGUGUGAUUCACGGUACACGCUUCGAUCGAAUCGUGACUAACGUGUUUUUUAACCUUGGCUCCGACACUUUGUCAGCGUUCAAGGAUCGUUCUUUUCGAAUUAACCGCCACAGCAGCCGGUGUGGAUGUAAUACCGAAAAUAUUUCUUGCGAGCUGAUAACUCCGGGGACACCCGGAUGUCCCAUAGCGUACACACACGGAUCGGCAACGAACUCUGAUCUUUCGUUCGUUUGAGGACGAUCGGUCCCGAAUGUUGAGAAUAUUCAAGACGUUCUUUCUACUUAAACUGCCUGAUGUCUGCCGUUCGAAAAUAGCUGUCGUUUAGUGUCAGCGAUUCCCUCGUUCGUGUAUACACAAACAACCGUCGUGUAAAAGAGAAAGAGCAAGAGGGAGAGAUGGGAAAAAAAGAGGAAUUCCUUAACGACACGCUGGAAACACGUGUCAGCACGUUGUUGUAAAGAUCCAACAUUCUCCACCUUUUUCCGUGAACCCGGCUGCUGCUUUACACCCAUAAAAAGGUUAAUGUACAGGGGAUAAAUCGAUACACCAGGAAUAAUUAUGUUCGUCGGGAGAUCGGUAAAGGAGGAGACAAGCGAAACUCGAUUCACAAAGUGGCGAAUCCUUGGUAGACACCCGACGUUAUUUCGACGAUGCCGUUGCAGUUCGGUUUUAAUGUGGGUGCCGCCUUAAGUAACGACGACGCGGCUGGUUUCAGGCUAAAAUACACUCAAUUAACCCUUAAUUGGCCGGCACCAAUUAUGGGCCCAGCGUACCGACGCGUAUUCAUUCGGUCAACAAGAAUGUAUGGUCGGCCGGCGUUGUUCUUCCCUCGUUUUACGACGACGACGACGACGACGUCGUUCGUGCCUCCUCUGGCACGCAGAUAAACGAAUUUCUUCUUCACUAGAGGAGCUUAUCCGAAGAUUCGAGCACGUGAUCAGCACGUUUGAUCAUCUUGUCGCGUGGAAAGUUCGCGCCUCGACAUCUACUACUAUAUUUAUCUAACGUUUACAACUUAGACUACACAUUUUUUUUUUUUUAAUCUUUUUUGUUGUAGGAAGUAGUAUCUUUCGAAAUGAACAUAUUAUAUUUGGAAUGCGAACGUAACUGUCAACGGAGAAAUAUCUGGUCGUUAAGUCAACCAUCGAGAUACCUCUGAGAAUUAACGUUAAGGUCAAGUUUUACUGCUCGUACAUCAUCCUUUUCGCGAUAACGAGAUCAUCGGGCUUCCUAGUUGAUUUGCCAAGAUCGGUAUUCGCGAAUAACUUGGUCGGCUUUCGUUUCUCUUCCGCCUUCAACCGCGCGCGACUGUUCGCAUCGAAAGAAAGCGCGGCAGAAUCUAAAAUCUGUUCGAGAAAAAUGAAAAAUACGCGUUUUAUCUUUCGAAUGAUAAUCCUCGUGGUACGCCUCCGUACGAUGGAGAACGGUUUGAAUUACAAGUACGAGGAUCUCGGUGAAAUCUUGAACAUAAGCCGUGCUUUCAAGUGGUCGUUUCCCGCGAUACGCGAAGUGCGUGCGAUUUAACGAGCUAAGACAUCUUCGUCGCAAUCGCCUUAAUUUGUCGUUUGCUAAGCUCGUUCUAUCACCAACGUUUAAACCUAAUGUUACAUUCUAAAUAUAAUUUCCGUGCAACGAGGCCGAUCAUUCGCGGAACAAGCGGCUAGUUUCUCCUCUCUCGUUGGUGAACGACGGUGUAGAAAAACGAAAUAGAAUUUCUGUUUUCAUUCGUUUUUCAUUCACCUUGGGAAACGAAAGAAUGCUCGAAUGACGAUAAUUAUUGUUGCAAGGUAUUUUUAAAUGGAGAGUGUCGCCGCGUUUACGUGAUCCGACAGGAAUUUCGCUCGACGGUUUAUUUCUGUGGUUAUAAUUGCUCCGGAUCGGAGACGAUUCAACGCGAGAGUAUGCCUCGUUAUCUCCGACGACGUUCGUUCGUAAAGACGACAGAAAAGUCUCUGUUAAUGGUGGGAGCCGAAUAUAAAUUUCGCGACAAACGCGUCCUUAUCAACUUGCUCGCUUGCUUGGUUGGUUACUUACCCUUUAAAUUCGUGCACCGUUCUCUAUCACUGUCUGUCAAUAUUUGCCGCUAAUCGGUCGACGAAAACAACGUAAAUCAUAUAGUAUUACGACGGUGUGAACGAUAUUACAGCAGCCGUAUUACAACGACUAUCCGUUAUCAGUCGAGCAUAUGUCCAAGUGUCUGUGUUUAUCGGUCCCGACUAUAUUUAGACCGGGUAUUGCUUUGUCGAGCAACACGAAUCGAAUCAAGGAAGGAAAGUAGACAAUUUAUUCUCCUUUCGAACGGAAUCACGAAAACGAGCCGCGGGACCCGUUAAUCAGACGCUCCUAGCUACAAACAACAUCCCAAGGAUUUACUUUUGCUCGAAAACCGUACAAAGUCGGCAUUCUAAUCGAAAACAGAUACGAAAUCGUGUGCGACGACGUAUUCCCCGCGGAAAGUUCAACAGCUUCGAUACGCGUCAUGCAAUAUUAAUUAGCCAUUACCAUAAAACGAGCGUUAACAUCGGCUAGAGCGCACCAGUCGAAAACGCUAAUUACGUUUUAACGCGCCAUAUCGACCAUCCCAAUUUUCACGUCGCACACUUUCAUCGAUUCGUGUACGUGGGCAAAAUAAAAAUGUCAAUGUUUGGAGAAAUUGUGAUUGUGUUUUGCAAACACUGCCACGGCGGGAAAGUGCCUAUUUUAGAUUGAAAAUAAAUAAGCGUAAAGGCAGCGAACUAAUUUACUCCGCGUUCGAGGGUUCGUUUGGGAUUAACCGACCCUUCUGCUCCUUUUCGACCUGGCCGGGAUUCUUGAAUGGUUGUCAGGUAGGACCGAAAUCCCACGGCGUUACACCAGAGAGAGAAUGAGAAAGAGACUGGUGUAUCCGGCGUCAUUCGAGUAUAUCCAAGGAUACCGACGCCACUAUACACCGUGGCUCCACUAACUGCCUAUGUUUAUCGCCAGGCUAUAUUUAGCCUGGGCUAUUGCUUUGCCAAGCGACAGACUGAACGAACCAGCUACAACCAACACGGGCAGCACCGGCAUCGGCAUCAGCAUCAGCAGAGGCAAGCAGAGGCAGUUGCCUUCCCAUCUCCUCGAUUCCUCUGGUUCUCUCUCUUUCUCAUCCUAUCCCGUCCCAUAUACGAGCCUACACCAUCCGUAUGCUCGUCUCUCGGACUCCCAAGCAGAGUUGUAACCUCGUCGGCCAGCGACACCCACCGGUGAACCGAUCUGCCUGGAUCAGGACGAGAUCCAAACGUAUCUCUAUCCGUUACGCCAUUCCGUUGGCCGAUACGUUUCCCAACUUCACCGUGAGCUUUUCCGCGGAGGCGGUGCCGAUUCGCGAAUCCAAAGAUCCACUCGAAUCCAUCGGCAAACUCUACCGAACCGAUACGACUAGUUUGCUCGCGGGAAUUACCCAAAGAUUAUGUGUCGCUGAUGUUCGGAAUGGAAAACUUUCCAGAGACGAGGAUUGAGAAGGCAGAUAAUUAUCGUAGACCGGGUGUCUAUGACCCUGACCGAACGAGACCGGGCGCACCGCUGAAAGUUGUCCACGUGCUCUACGAAGAGAGUACACAAUCGGCUGCCGCGGUGGUUCGUGUCUGAUUUUUCAUCGGUACGCAUUAAUUUCCAUUCGAUUGUUUCGCCAUUCAAGGAUACAACGUCGCGCGCACAACUAUCGCUAUUUGUCCGUUGGGUACCUAUAAAUAGACGCUGUUGAUUUAUGAAUAAAUGAAAGCACCGCCCUGUUUCUGUGUCCGCGCAUCCCCCACCGCGAUUUCACCUAGCGUACGCGCAUGCGUCCGCGCUAUUUCCUCUAGUACGCAUGCGCCCGUGCGUAAAAGAGUUGUGUACUCUCCCCACUCGGGCGAGUGGUGCACGCGUUCCUGGUGAACAGGGCCGUCGAGCAAUGAUUCUCCGGUUUAGAAAUGUAUUUUUAGACUGUGUACCGUUCGUUGGGGCACAAUUUGAACACCUUUCUCGGGUGAUAAAUCUUCCAGAUACAUAGCGCGCGGAUUGCGAAACACAACCGACUCGAUUCGACUCGACCCGGCCGUGUUUUAGGAACACAGGUUGAACUUUCUCUGGUUCGGUUCGGUUACGCCAAAAUAUUGUUUCGCUUUGUAAAAUUUUUACCAUUUUUAUUGCCGCUGGAAGCAGAAGGAGUGCCCUUGGUAUAUGUCUCCGUCUCUAUUAUAAAACCAGACGGUUACAACAUUCUGCUUCUCAUUCCUCAAAUUAGAAUGUAUAAUGGCGUCUUGAGUUAGUAAAUACGCUCUAUUAUGUGUUUAUAUCGGUGCUCGUGGUUGUAUGCGCGGCACGAGGCUAAAUAUAAAUACAGUCGGAUCUAAAUAUUGUUCAACACCUUUGAUCUCUUCGAAUGAAGUUCCAUAUUCAGUUCGUUCAAUCGGUUAUUUAUACGCUUGUUGUUUUUUCCCCUUCCUUUAAGUUUUCAAUCUACACCGUGAUAAAGUUGCAUUAAUUCCUCGACGGUCGGAGAAUCCCCCAGAAGAAAUCAAUUUCACUCGCUGGAAUGAACGAUUUGCUCGAACGAUAACGCGUUUAUCGUCGUAUAACAAAAAACUAUGUAUAUGCGAAAGAAGAGGAGAAAAAGCUUCUCUGGAACGUUAAUCAUAGCGUCAUUAGCGUAAGAUCGAAUCAAACCUAUCCUGGCGGUUAACGAUUUCAUAACAAGUUAAUUAAAGCGUUUAAUCCGCCCACUUUCUGAUUGCACCCUGUUUCUCGAGCUCCUCGUUCAUCCGCGUUAAACCUUUUAACGAUUGCGUAAGAUACAGAAAAACGAUGUUAUCACCGUGGUCGCGUUACGAUUUCCACGGUCCCAUCUUGUUCACCUGGUUGGCCGUUAAUUAUUCGCGUCUUCGGGCCUGUUUAAUUGGCAGAAGGGACGAUUGCCGGCGCGAAACACUGUCACCUAAUAAAAACCGAACGAUCUCGUACGAUGAAACGAAGCCGAAAAAACGAAUCGUCCUCCUUCUUACUGUUUAACGAGCAUCCCUUAUCGAUCGACUGAUCGUAUAAUUUAGGAAGUUAUGGCCGAUGGAAAGUAACAACGACCGAACGAACGACCGACACUCUCUUCGUAGGGAUUAGCCGAGAGCGAGGGGCUUUAAUUGGCGUAAGGCUGCGUCCCCCGUGGCUUCAAGUUCAAUUAUCUAAUGGCGAGCUCGGCCGCUGCGCUCUUUCCCCGGCUGCUUUCUAAUUCCUUGGAAAGAAUUCGCUCGGUCAACGAGAGUCUCUCUCCUCGUCCCUUUUUUGGUCGUGUUCAGGGUAUCGGGUCGGGUCGUUAACAUCCCGGACAACGGUCGCGUUUUCACCGUUUCCCGUACGCACGGUAUCGUGAAAGAAAAUGUAACUUUUCAUCGGGGAAAGGAGAAAGAAAGGGGCGACUAGCGAACCGUAACGUAGGAAAGAAGGAGAAAGAAAAAGUUAACGAGCCAAGAGGAUUAUCGAUUGAUAUUCAAGAUAAAGGAGGCACGGUUACGUUUCAACGGCGGAGACCUCCGAGAGGAACGAAUUUAUCUGCGACACGGAGCGUUGUCGUUUGGCAAGAUCUUGGUGCACGUAAACGGUCUCCCUCGAGAACACUAAUAGCCACCAUUAACGGGCCAGGACGUGAUCCGUUCACACGCUCGCGAAUUCCGGGAAGCUAUCUUUCCGUUCUGCCGUGUGGUAGCAAGCGUGUUGUAUCGGGAAGGGAGGUAUUUCUGGCACAACAUUACCGUUGUUGCUUGUCACCUUCGGCCAGAGAGAAAUGUCGCCUUGCCAGGCCGGCUGAAAAGCGACUAACCGGACACCACCGGGGUGAAGACACUUGCCCUAACGAUUCCGUGUAACUUCUUCGAUCCUGGAGCACGAUAAACUUUUCGUUGCUUCAGAUAUACAGAUGUCGUUGAUUAAGUCUUUAAAACGAUCGAUGGGAAAGUCGCGACGCCUCGGCUGUUCGGGAAUCAAGGUGUCUAGAUCCUAAUCAAUCAUUUUUCACCGCUUCUGGAGCAGUUCUCGUAAACGAUUCGCGACAUUGUUGACAUUCGCGAUGCGACGCUGUCAAACGAUUAAACGCUAAAUCAAUAUUCCAACACGUUCUUAACUUCCUUUCGAGUCUUCCUCCUCAGGUGUGACUUCCGUCUCUGGCAAACACAGGAAGGGGAUCGUAGAGUGCGAUGAAUAGAAGCUUGUUUUCCAACCGAGCAUCGCGAUCGUUCGUGAUUUCAGCAGGCCAAAGCGUUUGACCGGCGCGGCGCGACGAUUUGCACGAUUAAAGUGACUCGAAAGAUACGUACAACGAUUGCCCCAUUGUUAUUCAGCGAACACGACGAUUGUCGAUGCGCCGGGACGAGCAGCCGUCGCCGCGCCGCGCCGCGCCGUUCCACCACGUAAAGACGAGUUUAGAGGCAUAAUUUUGAGGGACGACGCGGAUCACCGUGCAGAGGCGGAAAGAUGAAAUAUCCACGAGUCAUGUUUUAUGGAUGCGGCGAACAAUUAUGAGACAGUAGGACAUAAAUUUAAAAAAGUACCGCAAAGAAUUCGCGAUGAGACGAUGCUAAAAUAAUCUUGCCACCGGUCGCAACCGUUGUCGACACAUUGUUAACUUGACGUGUAAUCAUUUUUCAGAAACUCUUUCGUUUACCGAGAUAUUUACUUUGAACCAUUAUGUUGAAUGAAAAAAAGGGAACAAUAUCUACUAUAACACCGGAGUAACAGAAUCUGUCUAUGCAUUCGUUGAAAUAGUAUCGUGGCACUCGACAAAGGUACAUAAAGGUAGUUUCAACGCCUCCAACUCUGCGGCGUUAACACCGGUGGUGUCUCGGUCAAUACCGGUGAUACAUCUGACUUCGAAACACGCCGGAUACAACUUCGGUUCAAUUUCAAAUCUCUGAACCUGUCCAACCGGGACACCUUCCAUAAUGAUCACAACUUCCAGGGAAGCAUUUCAGUACAAGCAUAGACUCGUGGAAAAGUUGAACGUCACCUUGGAAAAGUUGAAGAAAAACGGACACGAACAGGAAUUCCUUGAUCAGCUUUCCAAAGGAUCGCGACUUUGUUGCACAACUGUAUCAGCGGAUAGAGAAAAGGCUUGUGUGUAGCAGUCCGCGGAGAGCACUCCGGCUCUCGCGAGCUCCCUCAAGGUGGUCUCGUCUAAAUAUAGCCGGGUAGAGCCCAGAAUAACAGCACGUCGCGAGCCGGCAAUGACCAAAGCCCGCCUCGUUCACCAGAGGCAACAGAAUAACCGACCAGGUUGGUCAGUUUUGUCUACCGGUCCGCGACUCGUUCCUCGGCCGAGCCCGGAGAAGCAUCGCUGCCUUAAAACAAUACAAUUCUGGCCCCGUGUUCCCGACUGCCUUCUCCUUUGUUUGUUAGCCCCGGUUCGACAGGAACGAGGGGACUGGUUUCUAAGCCAGACCAGUUUCGUCCACCGGAUCAUCGAUCACCGCGGGCGUUUUAUGCAAAACCUGGGGACACGACACGUUGCGUCGUCCCCGCGUCUUAGUUACGUACGGUUGCAUCCUUUGCCUCUGACGCAUCCAUGCAUCUCCAACUUUUCUUACCAGCAAAUUCACAUUCACGUGAUGGACUAACGAAGGCAUCACCUUCCGAAAGGAAAUUGCGAGAAGCCAAAGGUAGCCAAAGAAACCACAGCAUUUUCAUAGGCAAUUGCAUAAAAAUUUCAUUGUUUGAAACUUAUUAUCAGUUCUCAGAAGGAUCGCAUUACUUAGGAUGAUCUAAUAAUUUUGUUAUUCUUAUGCGUCUCGAUCGACUUCCUUCCGUCGAAGCGAAGCCGGAUCCAUUUCGUUCCUUCUUCCUUUCUUCAAUGGACAAUUACAAUAAGCUUCGCUAUCGUGCGACACAGAAGUCAACUUCCUUUCAGCGAAUUCAAUCGAACGAAGCCGUCGUUCCUUCGUUGGUCGUGCGACGCCAGACAUCCGGUCUCCAGAGAGAAUCCUGCUGAAAGAGGACUUCAGAAUUUGCCUAUGUUUUCCUUAUUCUAUCCGGUCUCGUCCGACUGGCUAUUUUCACUCGAAAUCUCGCGCAAAAAGCGCGGAAUAAUCCUGAUCAGAUGAAUUAAUUGCUGAUGAUGGCGACUUCCUGGAAUCGUGGGAGGACGGUUAGAGGACGUCGGAAAAACAGAGGGUUUAUAUCUUAAUCCUCAUGAAACUGUUAUUAAUUUUAAGGCUGAAUAAUUGUUGCCCUAAUUACGAAUCUAAGGAGGUCGAUGUCGUAACGAUAGGAGAAUGGCAAUAGAAACAGUCGCUAUGAAUAGGUUGGAUGCAUGAAUUUCGUGGCUGUGCUGUUCGAUCGAGCAG